ACAACCUCCAGCUGUUUCCAGCCAGAGUCCUUGUUCAAUCCUCUGAAGCAGCCAAGUGGACUCAGCCCAGCCAGAGUCCAGACUGCCCGCUGAAGGCUGUGAGAAAAUGUGAGGUCAGAGGUCAUCCUGCAGACUCCGUGGAUGGGGACAAACUGGACCAGAGCCUAGGCUUGGAACCAAACGGAACUGUAAGUUGCGGUGAGCUGGGGACUAUUCUGCAGUCGCAGCACGCAGGCUUAUCACUGUGGUGGCUUCUCUCAUUGCGGACCACGGGCUCCAGUUUCCAGGUUGUCUUUGGCCAGUCUUUCUGACCCAGAGUCCUGCCUGGUGGUGCACGCUUUGCUCAGCCAAGAUGGAUGCCAGCGAGAGGAUUCUGGAAGACUGUCAGACACGUGGUGUCUCCUUUUGACCUUUCCCGAACUCUUCUGGUUGGUGGUGGCAUGUUAGUUCCAUGUUCCUUACUGGGGCCUCCUGUCAUAAAAUAACUCACGCAGAUGGUUACUGUGGUGCCUGGCCAGGGUGGGUGGCUUCCUCCCCUAACACAGGGAGCACUGUCUCCUGCCCGAGUGAGUGCGCCCGCCCCAGACUCCUCCACCACCCAUGCUGCCAAGCCCAUGGGCCUCUGGCAGAGGAGAUGUGGCCUCCACAGGCUCCCCCAGGCCCUGGGUUGGGGUCUCCCAGGGUACAGGGAGCUGCCAGAGCCGUUGAGGUUCUUGCCAUGAGCUGAGACCACCAGCUGCCUAGUGUCCCUUCUCUAUGCCAUCUGAGAGGGCAAGGGCAUCUACACCAGACUAAGCAAAUGGGGCUCAGAGGAGACGCAGUUGCAUGGUGAGCCGGCCACCCGUUUUCCAGGGCCAGGUCUUGGCUGGGACAGGCUGGGCAGCUGGAGGGGACGGGGUGGCUGUGCCACCCAGAUCAAAUCCAGGCCCAGAUCAAAGCGACAGCAUCUCCCUCACUGCGUACGGCUGCUCCCACUGCAGGGAGCAGUCCUGCCAUUUCCCUCCAGCAUUAAAGGUG
Bos taurus (domestic cattle) is the source of this 1017-nucleotide long non-coding RNA. The record is from Ensembl. Lineage: Eukaryota; Metazoa; Chordata; Mammalia; Artiodactyla; Bovidae.